AGUUGACCUCGAAUCAGGUAGGAAUACCCGCUGAACUUAAGCAUAUCAAUAAGCGGAGGAAAAGAAACCAACAGGGAUUGCCCCAGUAACGGCGAGUGAAGCGGCAACAGCUCAAAUUUGAAAUCUGGCCCCUCGGGGCCCGAGUUGUAAUUUGCAGAGGAUACUUUUGGCGAGGCGCCUUCCGAGUUCCCUGGAACGGGACGCCAUAGAGGGUGAGAGCCCCGUCUGGUUGGAUGCCGAGCCUCUGUAAAGUUCCUUCGACGAGUCGAGUAGUUUGGGAAUGCUGCUCUAAAUGGGAGGUAUAUGUCUUCUAAAGCUAAAUAUUGGCCAGAGACCGAUAGCGCGCAAGUAGAGUGAUCGAAAGAUGAAAAGCACUUUGGAAAGAGGGUUAAAAAGCACGUGAAAUUGUUGAAAGGGAAGCGCUUGUGACCAGACGUGGGCCUGUCGGAUCAUCCAGCGUUCUCGCUGGUGCACUCUGGCGGGCUCAGGCCAGCAUCAGCUCGUCCCGGGGGACAAAGGCAGCGGGAAUGUGGCUCCUUCGGGAGUGUUAUAGCCCGCUGUGUAAUGCCCUGGGGCGGGCUGAGGUUCGCGCAUCUGCAUGGAUGCUGGCAUAAUGGUUAUCAGCGACCCGUCUUGAAACACGGACCAA
Molecule: ribosomal RNA, 649 nt
Filed under: Claviceps zizaniae
Lineage: Eukaryota; Fungi; Ascomycota; Sordariomycetes; Hypocreales; Clavicipitaceae
Description: eukaryotic LSU rRNA
Rfam family: Eukaryotic large subunit ribosomal RNA
Source: RNAcentral